Molecule: ribosomal RNA, 901 nt
Filed under: uncultured bacterium
Lineage: Bacteria
Description: bacterial SSU rRNA
Rfam family: Bacterial small subunit ribosomal RNA
Source: RNAcentral
UGGCUCAGAGCGAACGCUGGCGGCGUACUUAACACAUGCAAGUCGAACGAGGAUCAUCGGGUUAGCAAUAAUUCGGUGGUCCUAGUGGCGCACGGGUGAGUAACACGUGGGUGACCUGCCCUAGAGCUCGGGAUACCCCCUCGAAAGGGGGGCUAAUACCGGAUACGUUCCCCGGUCGAAAGACUGGGGAGGAAAGGUGGCGCAAGCUGCCGCUCUUGGAGGGGCUCGCGGCCUAUCAGCUAGUUGGCGGGGUAACGGCCCACCAAGGCUAUGACGGGUAGCUGGUCUGAGAGGACGACCAGCCACACGGGGACUGAGACACGGCCCCGACUCCUACGGGAGGCAGCAGUGGGGAAUUUUCCGCAAUGGGCGAAAGCCUGACGGAGUGACGCCGCGUGUGGGACGAAGGCCUUCGGGUCGUAAACCACUGUCAGUGGGAAAGAUGGGCGUCGGGGUUAAUACCUCCGGCGUCUGACGGUACCUGCAGAGGAAGCCCCGGCCAACUCUGUGCCAGCAGCCGCGGUAAGACAGAGGGGGCAAGCGUUGCUCGGAAUUACUGGGCGUAAAGGGCGCGUAGGCGGGAUGGCAAGUCGGUCGUGAAAUCCCUCGGCUCAACCGAGGAACGUCGAUCGAUACUGCUGUUCUUGAGGAUUGCAGAGGAGACUGGAAUUCCCGGUGUAGCGGUGAAAUGUGUAGAGAUCGGGAGGAACACCGGUGGCGAAGGCGGGUCUCUGGGCAAUUCCUGACGCUGAGGCGCGAAAGCGUGGGGAGCAAACGGGAUUAGAUACCCCGGUAGUCCACGCUGUAAACGAUGACGACUAGGUGUGGGGGGGUUCAGUCCCUUCCGUGCCGCAGCUAACGCAUUAAGUCGUCCGCCUGGGGAGUACGGCCGCAAGUUGAA